GCUGUCAUGGUGUAGUGGUUUGGAUAUUGGACUAUGACUCUGGAGAUCAAGGUUUGAAUCCCUUCUCAGCC
Molecule: transfer RNA, 71 nt
Filed under: Phrynosoma platyrhinos (Desert horned lizard)
Lineage: Eukaryota; Metazoa; Chordata; Lepidosauria; Squamata; Phrynosomatidae
Description: tRNA-OTHER
Source: RNAcentral